Molecule: small RNA, 127 nt
Filed under: Marmota monax (woodchuck)
Lineage: Eukaryota; Metazoa; Chordata; Mammalia; Rodentia; Sciuridae
Source: RNAcentral
GCCAGGGGUGGUGGCGCACUCCUGUAAUCCCAGCGGCUCAGGAGGCUGAGGCAGGAGGAUGGCAGGUUUGAAGCCAGCCUCAGUAACUUAGUGAGGCCUUCAGCAACUCAGCAAGACCCUGUCUCUA